RNAcentral lists this unclassified non-coding RNA (220 nucleotides) under soil metagenome. RNAcentral describes it as "partial contains 5.8S ribosomal RNA, internal transcribed spacer 2, and large subunit ribosomal RNA". The record is from RNAcentral.
AAGACUAUAGACCUGCGGAGUACCUGCGGAGGGAUCAUUACAGAGUUCAUGCCCUCACGGGUAGAUCUCCCACCCUUGAAUACUAUACCUUUGUUGCUUUGGCGGGCCGCUUUGGCUACUGGCUCUGGCUAGUAAGUGCCCGCCAAAGAACCCCAAAACUCUGAAUAUUAGUGUCGUCUGAGUACUAUAUAAUAGUUAAAACUUUUAGCAAUGGAUCUCU